This 777-nucleotide ribosomal RNA is filed under the name uncultured archaeon. RNAcentral describes it as "bacterial SSU rRNA". It matches the Rfam family "Archaeal small subunit ribosomal RNA", at positions 81 to 859 of the family's 1478-position model. The record is from RNAcentral.
GCGAAUAGCUCAGUAACACGUGGCCAAACUACCCUUCGGACCACCAUCCUCGGGAAACUGAGGCUAAUAUUGUAUACCACAGCCCACCUGGAAUGAGGACUGUGUCAAACGCUCCGGCGCCGAAGGAUGUGGCUGCGGCCGAUUAGGUAGACGGUGGGGUAACGGCCCACCGUGCCAAUAAUCGGUACGGGUCAUGAGAGUGAGAACCCGGAGACGGAAUCUGAGACAAGAUUCCGGGCCCUACGGGGCGCAGCAGGCGCGAAACCUUUACACUGCACGACAGUGCGAUAAGGGAAUCCCAAGUGCGCAGGCAUAGAGCCUGCGCUUUUGUACACCCUAGGGCGGUGUACGAAUAAGGGCUGGGCAAGACCGGUGCCAGCCGCCGCGGUAAUACCGGCAGCCCGAGUGAUGGCCGAUCUUAUUGGGCCUAAAGCGUCCGUAGCUGGCCGCGCAAGUCUAUCGGAAAAUCCACCCGCUCAACGGGUGGGCGUCCGGUAGAAACUGCGUGGCUUGGGACCGGAAGGCGCGACGGGUACGUCCGGGGUAGGAGUGAAAUCCCGUAAUCCUGGACGGACCGCCGAUGGCGAAAGCACGUCGCGAGAACGGAUCCGACAGUGAGGGACGAAAGCUAGGGUCUCGAACCGGAUUAGAUACCCGGGUAGUCCUAGCCGUAAACAAUGCCUGUUAGGUGUGGCUCCCACUACAAGUGGGUGCUGUGUCGUAGGGAAGCCGCUAAACGAGCCGCCUGGGAAGUACGUCCGCAAGGAUGAAACUUAA